Molecule: ribosomal RNA, 383 nt
Filed under: uncultured Pseudomonas sp.
Lineage: Bacteria; Pseudomonadati; Pseudomonadota; Gammaproteobacteria; Pseudomonadales; Pseudomonadaceae
Description: bacterial SSU rRNA
Rfam family: Bacterial small subunit ribosomal RNA
Source: RNAcentral
ACGGGAGACCGUUCAGCCUUUCGGGCCGGCGUACAGGUGCUGCAUGGCUGUCGUCAGCUCGUGCUGUGAAGUGUUGGGUUAAGUCCCGUAACGAGCGCAACCCUUGUCCUUAGUUACCAGCACGUUAUGGUGGGCACUCUAAGGAGACUGCCGGUGGACAAACCGGAGGAAGGUGGGGAGUGACGUCAAGUCAUCAUGGCCCUUACGGCCUGGGCUACACACGUGCUACAAUGGUCGGUACAAAGGGUUGCCAAGCCGCGAGGUGGAGCUAAUCCCAUAAAACCGAUCGUAGUCCGGAUCGCAGUCUGCAACUCGACUGCGUGAAGUCGGAAUCGCUAGUAAUCGUGAAUCAGAAUGUCACGGUGAAUACGUUCCCGGGCCUU